Molecule: long non-coding RNA, 487 nt
Filed under: Equus caballus (horse)
Lineage: Eukaryota; Metazoa; Chordata; Mammalia; Perissodactyla; Equidae
Description: lncRNA (ENSECAG00000048175.1)
Source: RNAcentral
GUUGUCUCUUCUUACUGUUAUAUCCUCAGAUCCCAGAAAAGUCCCACCAAGAUUCAGCUGGCAAUCAUUGGGCACUUAUUUGUUGAAUGAAUGAAUGAAGUUUGGAAUUCAGUACUGGUUGGUUAAGAGAAUGGUGACGCUGUUAAUAGAAAUAAAGAGAAAAGGGGAGAAAUAUGAUGACCUUGCUUCUGUGAAGGACAGUGUGACAAGGGCUGAGAGAAGACUGCUGCGCCUCAAGGAGACUGGAGUCAGGACAAGAGGAAAAAACAGAAUGCAAGACCUGUCACUUAGAGAACGUGUCAAGAUUUAGGCUGCUUCAGCAUAUGCCAACAGGGAUAAAUGCCAAUGAUUACAUCAUAGAGGUCAAAUCCAAACCAUUAGGAGGAAAAUGAAACAUCAUCAGAUAGCAGAGCAAGAGAUGCCGUCCAUCCCAACUUGCACUCUCUGCCCAGCAGGUGCCCAGACUUAUGCCAGACCCCUCAGAACU